AACGAACGCUGGCGGCAUGCCUAACACAUGCAAGUCGAACGAGACCUUCGGGUCUAGUGGCGCACGGGUGCGUAACGCGUGAGAACCUGCCCUUAGGUUCGGAAUAACUCCCCGAAAGGGGUGCUAAUACCGGAUAAUGUCUUCGGACCAAAGAUUUAUCGCCUUUGGAUGGGCCCGCGUUGGAUUAGCUAGUUGGUAGGGUAAAAGCCUACCAAGGCGACGAUCCAUAGCUGGUCUGAGAGGAUGAUCAGCCACACUGGGACUGAGACACGGCCCAGACUCCUGCGGGAGGAAGCAGUGGAGAAGAUUGGACAAUGGGCGAAAGCCUGAUCCAGAAAUGCCGAGGGGGUGAUGAAGGCUUUAGGGUUGUAAAGCUCUUUUACCCGGGAUGAUAAUGACAGGACCGGGAGAAUAAGCUCCGGCUAACUCCGUG
Molecule: ribosomal RNA, 433 nt
Filed under: uncultured bacterium
Lineage: Bacteria
Description: partial 16S ribosomal RNA
Rfam family: Bacterial small subunit ribosomal RNA
Source: RNAcentral